Hippocampus comes (tiger tail seahorse) is the source of this 449-nucleotide long non-coding RNA. RefSeq lists it as uncharacterized. NCBI's taxonomy places the organism in Eukaryota, Metazoa, Chordata, Actinopteri, Syngnathiformes, Syngnathidae. The transcript has 2 exons. The record is from RefSeq and is a predicted model, not a curated record.
UGAUUUGAGACACAUAAUUGCCCGACUUGUUCUCAAGGUACGAGGUCGCAUCGGAGAGUCCAAACACAAGCAUGACGUGCAUGAACCAAAGGUCGAUAUUUGGUGUUACUACCCCGAGGUUGAAAUCUCCUUUUUGUUUUGUUCUCCACUUAGGGUAUUUCAAUUCCUUUGAAGGUUUCGCCCGCCGCCAUGUCCUCUCAGCAACUAUCAACGAGCCCGCCGUUGAACUCUGGAGGAUCACCAACCACUGGGGCAAAAGAGUCCCUGAUGCCUCCGGCAUGCAAAUACAGAGAUCGCUCCCCUUCGCCCAUACGAGGCUUCAACAUCCCCAGCCCCAUGCCCACGCGCAGGAACAGGACCUGCUCAGCGUGAGAGUGCACACACACACAUCAUUUGCUUGGUUUAUAGUAAGACCUGACUGAUCGUUUUUCUUUAAUUGUUUUUUUUUU